This 638-nucleotide ribosomal RNA is filed under the name Fusarium oxysporum f. sp. ciceris. RNAcentral's name for it is "eukaryotic LSU rRNA". The stretch from base 131 to 284 matches the Rfam family "5.8S ribosomal RNA". The record is from RNAcentral. Lineage: Eukaryota; Fungi; Ascomycota; Sordariomycetes; Hypocreales; Nectriaceae.
AACCCCUGUGAACAUACCACUUGUUGCCUCGGCGGAUCAGCCCGCUCCCGGUAAAACGGGACGGCCCGCCAGAGGACCCCUAAACUCUGUUUCUAUAUGUAACUUCUGAGUAAAACCAUAAAUAAAUCAAAACUUUCAACAACGGAUCUCUUGGUUCUGGCAUCGAUGAAGAACGCAGCAAAAUGCGAUAAGUAAUGUGAAUUGCAGAAUUCAGUGAAUCAUCGAAUCUUUGAACGCACAUUGCGCCCGCCAGUAUUCUGGCGGGCAUGCCUGUUCGAGCGUCAUUUCAACCCUCAAGCACAGCUUGGUGUUGGGACUCGCGUUAAUUCGCGUUCCUCAAAUUGAUUGGCGGUCACGUCGAGCUUCCAUAGCGUAGUAGUAAAACCCUCGUUACUGGUAAUCGUCGCGGCCACGCCGUUAAACCCCAACUUCUGAAUGUUGACCUCGGAUCAGGUAGGAAUACCCGCUGAACUUAAGCAUAUCAAUAAGCCGGAGGAGGAUCAUUACCGAGUUUACCAACUCCCCAACCCCUGUGAACAUACCACUUGUUUGCCUCGGCGGAUCAGCCCCGCUCCCGGUAAAAACGGGACGGCCCCCCGAGGAACCCCUAAACUCUGUUUCUAUAUGUAACUUUCUGA